RNAcentral lists this ribosomal RNA (468 nucleotides) under uncultured bacterium. Its description in RNAcentral is "partial 16S ribosomal RNA". It matches the Rfam family "Bacterial small subunit ribosomal RNA", at positions 28 to 507 of the family's 1533-position model. The record is from RNAcentral.
GACGAACGCUGGCGGCGUGCUUAACACAUGCAAGUCGAACGGAAAGGCCCUGCUUUUGUGGGGUGCUCGAGUGGCGAACGGGUGAGUAACACGUGAGUAACCUGCCCUUGACUUUGGGAUAACUUCAGGAAACUGGGGCUAAUACCGGAUAGGAGCUCCUGCUGCAUGGUGGGGGUUGGAAAGUUUCGGCGGUUGGGGAUGGACUCGCGGCUUAUCAGCUUGUUGGUGGGGUAGUGGCUUACCAAGGCUUUGACGGGUAGCCGGCCUGAGAGGGUGACCGGCCACAAUGGGACUGAGAUACGGCCCAGACUCCUACGGGAGGCAGCAGUGGGGAAUAUUGCACAAUGGGCGGAAGCCUGAUGCAGCAACGCCGCGUGCGGGAUGACGGCCUUCGGGUUGUAAACCGCUUUCACCUGUGACGAAGCGUGAGUGACGGUAAUGGGUAAAGAAGCACCGGCUAACUACGUG